Long non-coding RNA from Ixodes scapularis (black-legged tick), 195 nucleotides. RefSeq lists it as uncharacterized. The record is from RefSeq and is a predicted model, not a curated record. The transcript has 3 exons. Lineage: Eukaryota; Metazoa; Arthropoda; Arachnida; Ixodida; Ixodidae.
CAUGAAAGCUGGAAAUGGCCCACUAAUUAUUUCUUAAGAAAAAAAGGAUUCCAUGAGCUUGGAUUGUGUCUAACUCUGGACCAGGAAUUUCCAACGAGUCUAGCGUGUAAUCCACGGCACAAGGCCCUGUAAAGCGCUAUUUGAGGAGGGGCACGACGGAUCGACCUGUCCAGUGAUGCGCAUUGAUGAAGAGGA